Molecule: long non-coding RNA, 935 nt
Organism: Perca fluviatilis (European perch)
Lineage: Eukaryota; Metazoa; Chordata; Actinopteri; Perciformes; Percidae
Exons: 4
Source: RefSeq, a predicted model, not a curated record
CCUCUCUAGCAAGCGUCUUUGCUGAAAGGAUCCAUUUUCACCAAAUACACCUGCAAAGUGUUCAAUGCCAGUGGAGACAAAGAGGAAGAGGCCACAUUUGAAGUACAAAAUGCACAAAAUAAAGAUCCACAUACGGGGGAAAAGUUGGGUUCAGCCUCCAAAAUAGUCGCUCCUGUGGUGGUCAUCGGAUCUCUGAUCGUAGGGUUGCUGUUGGCGCUGCUGAUCUAUAGAAGGCGAUCUCAACGUGAUCAUCAGGAGAGGGAUAAAACAUGCCAAGUCAGCCCGGCCUGAGGAGACACUGCAUGUCACAUGACACAUGCUAAUGUACUGGCAACCUCUGAAAUCAACACUUCCUUGUUUGCUAAUCUCCACUCUAUCGUUUGUUUCCCUAUUACAAACGACUGCGUAUAUAACCAGGAAUAACUUGUACUACUGUGAUUAAUCCAAGGAACUGUAAGCCCUUCAUUCACUUCAACUUUCUAAGAAAACAAUCUUAAAUGAGAUCUAAAUCUGAAGAAAGAUCUCUGAUUUUGAAUCAGUGAUGAUGGACAACUAGAAGGCAGGGGGUCCUGUUCAGGCCAUGUGACCUUUAAACAUUGACAACCACAUCGGGAGCUCGGUGUAACAUCACCGAAAACCACCUUAGUGAAUUUAGGAGGGCAGCAGAUCUUUGAUAUGUUUUGGUUGUUGGAGAAAAUAUUUUGUUUAAUUGUGCCCACGCAGUAACUGUAGCAUUUUGUAGCUUGGCAGGAAUGGCCCUCCUUUUCACUUCCUCUUGUCGUAUUAUGUCAACGUUCUGAAGAAAGUGUUGCACAAAAGGAAGUCAUAUUAUUAGGAUAGUUAGGGAGUUAUAUGUGUAUUCCAUGAAAAUGUAACAAAAGACAAGAUAAGUAUAAUACUAUAUUUUUCUGUCAACUUAUCCCAUGAAAAGACCA